AGAUCACUGGAAAAGAAAAUAACAGUAUCCUGAAACUUGGAAAACCAAAGAGUAAGCUAAUAUCUCACUGAUAAUUACACCAUCCAAUCAACUCUACCAGCAAUCAAAACAAGGAAAACUUGUUAACCUGUACCCAGUGGAAUUUGAUCUUUGACAGGUAGGAAGGUAAAAUAUAUUCAAGGUAGUUCAACAAAGCUAUACAUUUUAUUACUUGCAAAAUUGCUAAUAUUAUCACUAUUCAUUGGCUCUGUUACAUACAAGCAGCAUGAGUCAUGAAAUAAAAUUUAUUAGUUUUUGUGACCUACCAUUUCAUGGAGGUAAAUCACCUUGGACAUGAGAGUAAAGAAAAAUUAACAUACCCUUCGUACCCUCGAAAAAAUAUUUCAAUAAAAAUACCCAUUAGCCCGAUUACUCUUCUAACACUCUUCUGCUUGAAAUUGAAGAUGUUCUAUUUAUUAUUGGACAACCAUAGCGCAUGUGUCGUGUCAAAAGUCAAAAUGAUGGCGUCGACGUUGACAGACAGUGCGUUCGGUAUUUACAAAUCGGCACUAGCAUCUGUAGACAGCAAGCGAAUCUUUCAGGAAAUUUCCACAUAAUGCUUGCUGAUGGAUAAUGCAGUGGUAACAGAGAAAUUGUGGAAAAGUUUCAUCUUUACGACAUAACGCCACCAGACCCGUAUCACAACCCACCAUAGCUGGAGCGCCAUCGGUUAUCAAGCCUACCAUUUUCGAUAUUGGAAUUUUCUCGGAAGAAAUAAUAUUUUUUAAAUGAGAAAACAACUCAUGUCCAGUAGUGUGUCCUUUCAGUGGAAUGAACUUCAAAAGAUCUUCUUUAAUCGUAAAAUCACUAAAAACCAUUCUGACGAACACGGCCAUCUGGGCAGUGUCAACGACAUCUGUUGAUUCAUCCAGUUGAAGUGAAAAAUAAACACAGUUAUCUAAGUCAGUUCUUAAACUGUAAAAAAAUAUCAUUGCUCAUUACUUCUACACGUCUCAUCACUGUAUUAGCAGAAAGUUGCAUAGAUUUUAAAGCUGAAACUAUUUCGUCUUCAUUUCUAAAGUUGGCAAAUAACGAAUCAGCAGCUUCUAAAAACGGCUGUUUUAUCAUUUCCCUGUCUUCAUAAGGUUUCUUUUUUUUUGCAAUUAUCUGGGGCACACGGUACGAUGCUUCAGUUGCAGCCUUAUUUUUGUCGACUGUUCUUAAAAAUAUUGAUUGUUGUCCAAUUAACUGCUUUUUUAACUGUUUCAGUUUCUCCUUUCUGGCGGCAGAAUG
This is a long non-coding RNA of Leptinotarsa decemlineata (Colorado potato beetle), 1272 nucleotides long. The record is from RefSeq and is a predicted model, not a curated record. NCBI's taxonomy places the organism in Eukaryota, Metazoa, Arthropoda, Insecta, Coleoptera, Chrysomelidae.